This 717-nucleotide ribosomal RNA is filed under the name Nosema granulosis. Its description in RNAcentral is "partial small subunit ribosomal RNA". It matches the Rfam family "Microsporidia small subunit ribosomal RNA", at positions 63 to 825 of the family's 1311-position model. Lineage: Eukaryota; Fungi; Microsporidia; Nosematidae. The record is from RNAcentral.
AAUAUAAAGAAAAGACGAACAGCUCAGUAACUCUUAUUUUAUUUGAUGUAUUAGGAUUAUAACUAUGUUAAAUUAUAGAUAACAAUAAUACAAUAAGAAUAAGAUCUAUCAGUUAGUUGUUAAGGUAAUGGCUUAACAAGACUAUGACGGAUAACGGUAUUACUUUGUAAUAUUCCGGAGAAGGAGCCUGAGAGAUUGCUACUAAGUCUAAGGAUUGCAGCAGGGGCGAAACUUGACCUAUGAUAUGAUAUUGAGGCAGUUAUGAGUAGUAUUUUUAAUUAUUGUAGUAUUGUAAGUAUAUACUACAAGAUAAAUCGGAGGGCAAAUCGAGUGCCAGCAGCCGCGGUAAUACUUGUUCCGAUAGUGUGUAUGAUGAUUGAUGCAGUUAAAAAGUCUGUAGUUUAUUAUUAAUAAGCAUUGUGAGGUAUAUUGUAUGGUUAGGAGAGAGAUGAAAUGUGAUAACCCUAACUGGAUGAACAGAAGCGAAAGCUAUAUACUUAAAUGUUUUAUUAGAACAAGGACGUAAGCUAGAGGAUCGAAGAUGAUUAGAUACCAUUGUAGUUCUAGCAGUAAACUAUGUUAAAUCAUAGAUACAUUAUUAAUAUGUAUUUAUGUAAAGAAAUUAAGAUUAUAUUGACUCUGGGGAUAGUAUGAUCGCAAGAUUGAAAAUUAAAGAAAUUGACGGAAGAAUACCACAAGGAGUGGAUUGUGCGGCUU